GUGAGGAAUAUUGGUCAAUGGACGGAAGUCUGAACCAGCCAUGCCGCGUGCAGGAAUAAGGUCCUAUGGAUUGUAAACUGCUUUUAUUCGGGAAUAAACCUCUUUACGUGUAGGGAGCUGAAGGUACCGAAGGAAUAAGCACCGGCUAACUCCGUGCCAGCAGCCGCGGUAAUACGGAGGGUGCAAGCGUUAUCCGGAAUCACUGGGUUUAAAGGGUCCGCAGGCGGGCUAUCAAGUCAGAGGUGAAAUCCCACAGCUUAACUGUGGAACUGCCUUUGAAACUGAUGGUCUUGAAUUAAGUGGGCGUUGGCGGAAUAUGACAUGUAGCGGUGAAAUGCAUAGAUAUGUCAUGGAACACCGAAAGCGAAGGCAGCUAACGAUACUUAUAUUGACGCUCAUGGACGAAAGCGUGGGUAGCGAACAGGAUUAGAAACCCCUGUAGUCC
Molecule: ribosomal RNA, 445 nt
Filed under: uncultured bacterium
Lineage: Bacteria
Description: partial 16S ribosomal RNA
Rfam family: Bacterial small subunit ribosomal RNA
Source: RNAcentral